AGACAUAUCGUAUAAGGGUAAUACAUAUUAUUACGGAUGAUAUAAUACUGGUUCAAUUCCAGUUAUGUCUU
This 71-nucleotide transfer RNA is filed under the name Lodderomyces elongisporus. Its description in RNAcentral is "tRNA-Arg". It matches the Rfam family "tRNA". Rfam says of the family: Transfer RNA (tRNA) molecules are approximately 80 nucleotides in length. Their secondary structure includes four short double-helical elements and three loops (D, anti-codon, and T loops). Further hydrogen bonds mediate the characteristic L-shaped molecular structure. tRNAs have two regions of fundamental functional importance: the anti-codon, which is responsible for specific mRNA codon recognition, and the 3' end, to which the tRNAs corresponding amino acid is attached (by aminoacyl-tRNA synthetases). tRNAs cope with the degeneracy of the genetic code in two manners: having more than one tRNA (with a specific anti-codon) for a particular amino acid; and 'wobble' base-pairing, i.e. permitting non-standard base-pairing at the 3rd anti-codon position. RNAcentral also lists the same sequence under 1 other name. The record is from RNAcentral. Lineage: Eukaryota; Fungi; Ascomycota; Pichiomycetes; Serinales; Debaryomycetaceae.